GACAAAGAGUUAGAGGAGAAGCAAGAGAGGAUUAGAGGAACUUUUGAAACCAGCCACUGCUUUGGGACAAAGAUUGAAAAUGGGACUUAAAGGAAUCUUGAUGAUACUACUAAUGCUAAAUGCAAGUACAACGCUGACGACUGCAACGGCAACAACCACAGCUGCUCCAACCACAACCACAGCUACACCAACCACAACCACAGCUACUCCAACCACAACC
Molecule: long non-coding RNA, 220 nt
Organism: Xiphophorus maculatus (southern platyfish)
Lineage: Eukaryota; Metazoa; Chordata; Actinopteri; Cyprinodontiformes; Poeciliidae
Exons: 3
Source: RefSeq, a predicted model, not a curated record